CCCGCUGAGUUUAAGCAUAUCAAUAA
This 26-nucleotide non-coding RNA is filed under the name Xenopus tropicalis (tropical clawed frog). Lineage: Eukaryota; Metazoa; Chordata; Amphibia; Anura; Pipidae. RNAcentral also lists the same sequence under 1 other name. The record is from RNAcentral.